RNAcentral lists this ribosomal RNA (253 nucleotides) under uncultured bacterium. RNAcentral's name for it is "partial 16S ribosomal RNA". It matches the Rfam family "Bacterial small subunit ribosomal RNA", at positions 524 to 776 of the family's 1533-position model. The record is from RNAcentral.
GACGAACCGUGCGAACGUUGUUCGGAAUCACUGGGCUUAAAGGGCGCGUAGGCGGGCUGUCAAGUCUGGGGUGAAAUGCUGCGGCUCAACCGUAGAACUGCCUCAGAUACUGACGGCCUCGAGGAAGGUAGGGGCAUGCGGAACUGUAGGUGGAGCGGUGAAAUGCGUUGAUAUCCGGAGGAACACCGGUGGCGAAGGCGGCUUCCUGGACCGACACUGACGCUGAGGCGCGAAAGCUAGGGGAGCAAACGGG